This 920-nucleotide ribosomal RNA is filed under the name uncultured bacterium. Its description in RNAcentral is "bacterial SSU rRNA". It matches the Rfam family "Bacterial small subunit ribosomal RNA", at positions 29 to 920 of the family's 1533-position model. The record is from RNAcentral.
ACGAACGCUGGCGGCGUGCUUAACACAUGCAAGUCGUACGAGACGAUUGAAAGCUUGCUUUUGAAAGUCGAGUGGCAAACGGGUGAGUAACGCGUAGACAACCUGCCGUAAAGAUGGGGACAACAGUCCGAAAGGACUGCUAAUACCGAAUGUUGUGGAACUUCCGCAUGGAAGCUCUACUAAAGAUGGCCUCUACUUGUAAGCUAUCGCUUUACGAUGGGUCUGCGUCUGAUUAGCUAGUUGGUGGGGUAACGGCCUACCAAGGCGACGAUCAGUAGCCGGUCUGAGAGGAUGAACGGCCACAUUGGAACUGAGACACGGUCCAGACUCCUACGGGAGGCAGCAGUGGGGAAUCUUCCGCAAUGGGCGCAAGCCUGACGGAGCAACGCCGCGUGAGUGAAGAAGGGUUUCGACUCGUAAAGCUCUGUUGUCGGGGACGAAUGUGGAGAUGGUGAAUAACCAUUUCCAAUGACGGUACCUGACGAGGAAGCCACGGCUAACUACGUGCCAGCAGCUGCGGUAAUACGUAGGUGGCGAGCGUUGUCCGGAAUUAUUGGGCGUAAAGGGAGCGCAGGCGGGAGAUCAAGUCUAUCUUAAAAGUGCGGGGCUCAACCCCGUGAGGGGAUGGAAACUGGUCUUCUUGAGUGCAGGAGAGGAAAGCGGAAUUCCUAGUGUAGCGGUGAAAUGCGUAGAUAUUAGGAGGAACACCAGUGGCGAAGGCGGCUUUCUGGACUGUAACUGACGCUGAGGCUCGAAAGCGUGGGGAGCGAACAGGAUUAGAUACCCUGGUAGUCCACGCCGUAAACGAUGAAUGCUAGGUGUAGGAGGUAUCGACCCCUCCUGUGCCGGAGUUAACGCAAUAAGCAUUCCGCCUGGGGAGUACGGCCGCAAGGCUGAAACUCAAAGGAAUUGACGGAAGG